AACGAACGUUAGCGGCGCGCCUAACACAUGCAAGUCGCACGAGAAAGGGCUUCGGCUCCGGUAAAGUGGCGCACGGGUGAGUAACACGUGGGUAACCUGCCCUCGAGCGGGGGAUAACAUUCCGAAAGGAGUGCUAAUACCGCAUAAGACCACGACCUCGAAAGAGGAUGGGGUCAAAGCUGGCCUCCAUACAUAAGCUAGCACUUGAGGAUGGGCCCGCGGCGCAUCAGCUAGUUGGUGAGGUAACGGCUCACCAAGGCGAAGACGCGUAGCUGGUCUGAGAGGAUGAUCAGCCACACUGGAACUGAGACACGGUCCAGACUCCUACGGGAGGCAGCAGUGGGGAAUCUUGCGCAAUGGGCGAAAGCCUGACGCAGCGACGCCGCGUGAGUGAUGAAGGCCUUCGGGUUGUAAAGCUCUGUGGGGCGAGACGAAUAAGUGCAGCCUAAUACGUUGCAUGAUGACGGUAUCGCCUUAGCAAGCACCGGCUAACUCUGUGCCAGCAGCCGCAGUAA
RNAcentral lists this ribosomal RNA (515 nucleotides) under uncultured bacterium. RNAcentral describes it as "partial 16S ribosomal RNA". It matches the Rfam family "Bacterial small subunit ribosomal RNA", at positions 29 to 523 of the family's 1533-position model. The record is from RNAcentral.